This 253-nucleotide ribosomal RNA is filed under the name uncultured bacterium. Its description in RNAcentral is "partial 16S ribosomal RNA". It matches the Rfam family "Bacterial small subunit ribosomal RNA", at positions 524 to 776 of the family's 1533-position model. The record is from RNAcentral.
UACGGAGGGUGCGAGCGUUGCUCGGAAUCACUGGGCGUAAAGCGUACGCAGGUGGCAGAUUAAGUCGGGUGUGAAAUCCCGGAGCUCAACUCCGGAACUGCGCCCGAUACUGGUCUGCUUGAGUACGGGAGAGGGAAGCGGAAUUCCUGGUGUAGAGGUGAAAUUCGUAGAUAUCAGGAGGAACACCAGUGGCGAAAGCGGCUUCCUGGCCCGAUACUGACACUCAUGUACGAAAGCGUGGGUAGCAAACAGG